CCUACGGGAGGCAGCAGUGGGGAAUCUUGCGCAAUGCGCGAAAGCGUGACGCAGCAACGCCGCGUGAGGGAAGACGGCCUUCGGGUUGUAAACCUCUUUCAGUUGGGACGAAGCCACGGCGGUUAAUACCCGUCUGUGGUGACGGUACCUUCAGAAGAAGCCCCGGCUAACUACGUGCCAGCAGCCGCGGUAAUACGUAGGGGGCAAGCGUUGUCCGGAAUCAUUGGGCGUAAAGCGCGUGUAGGCGGCUUGGUAAGUCCGCUCUGAAAGCCCGGGGCUCAACCCCGGGAGGCGGGUGGAUACUGUCAAGCUCGAGUCCGGAAGAGGCGAGUGGAAUUCCUGGUGUAGCGGUGAAAUGCGCAGAUAUCAGGAGGAACACCAAUGGCGAAGGCAGCUCGCUGGGACGUGACUGACGCUGAGACGCGAAAGCGUGGGGAGCAAACAGGAUUAGAUACCCUGGUAGUCCACGCCGUAAACGAUGGGCACUAGGUGUGGGAGGUGUCGACUCCUCCCGUGCCGAAGCUAACGCAUUAAGUGCCCGCCUGGGGNGGACGGCGCGAGAACGUAAACGUAAAGUUAAGUUAGUAGCGUUGAGAGNGCGAGGACGACGACGAGGGAGGAGG
RNAcentral lists this ribosomal RNA (623 nucleotides) under uncultured bacterium. RNAcentral describes it as "bacterial SSU rRNA". The stretch from base 1 to 543 matches the Rfam family "Bacterial small subunit ribosomal RNA", at positions 338 to 873 of the family's 1533-position model. The record is from RNAcentral.